RNAcentral lists this ribosomal RNA (447 nucleotides) under uncultured bacterium. RNAcentral describes it as "SSU rRNA". It matches the Rfam family "Bacterial small subunit ribosomal RNA", at positions 26 to 518 of the family's 1533-position model. The record is from RNAcentral.
AGAACGAACGCUGGCGGCAUGCCUAACACAUGCAAGUCGAACGCGUGUAGCGAUACACGAGUGGCGGACGGGUGAGUAACGCGUGGGAACCUGCCCUGGAGUGUGGGAUAACCGAGGGAAACUUCGGCUAAUACCGCAUACGACCUGAGGGUGAAAGAUUUAUCGCUCUAGGAGGGGCCCGCGUCGGAUUAGCUAGUUGGUGGGGUAAAGGCCUACCAAGGCAGUGAUCCGUAGCUGGUCUGAGAGGAUGAUCAGCCACACUGGGACUGAGACACGGCCCAGACUCCUACGGGAGGCAGCAGUGGGGAAUAUUGGACAAUGGGGGCAACCCUGAUCCAGCAAUGCCGCGUGAGUGAUGAAGGCCUUAGGGUUGUAAAGCUCUUUCGCGCGCGACGAUGAUGACGGUAGCGCGAGAAGAGCCCCGGCUAACUUCGUGCCAGCAGCCGC